GUGUCUAUAUUUACCACACGAGAAGCAUACCUCAAGUAAAGCCUCAAAUUCCAUACGUUGCAGUCGUCCAUUAACAAGAAUUUGGGAAGUGAGGGGUUUUCUUAAAUCAACAAAGACAGCCAUUCUGGCGAAUUGUCCUCUUUCGCGGUUGUUGGUUUUGAUGUCAAAUUUCACAACUCUUCCGACCAAGCUACCAAUCUCCUCUAAGAUCUUCUUUUGAUACAGGAACCCCGAUAAGCCUGGGAAUCGGAUCCAAGCAAGCACACUGUAGGGAAAGGGUCUUGAUAGGUCA
This 292-nucleotide long non-coding RNA is filed under the name Gossypium barbadense (sea-island cotton). Its description in RNAcentral is "long non-coding RNA (GBAR_LNC004519)". Lineage: Eukaryota; Viridiplantae; Streptophyta; Magnoliopsida; Malvales; Malvaceae. The record is from RNAcentral.